RNAcentral lists this ribosomal RNA (253 nucleotides) under uncultured bacterium. Its description in RNAcentral is "partial 16S ribosomal RNA". It matches the Rfam family "Bacterial small subunit ribosomal RNA", at positions 524 to 776 of the family's 1533-position model. The record is from RNAcentral.
UACGUAGGAGGCAAGCGUUGUCCGGAAUCACUGGGCGUAAAGAGCGUGUAGGCGGUCUGCCAAGUCUGUUGUGAAAGCGCCUGGCUUAACUGGGCGAGGUCGACGGAAACUGGUGAACUUGAGGACGAGAGAGGAACAUGGAACUCCAGGUGUAGUAGUGAAAUGCGUAGAUAUCUGGAAGAACACCGAUGGCGAAGGCAAUGUUCUGGCUCGUUUCUGACGCUCAGGUGCGAAAGCCAGGGGAGCGAACGGG